Molecule: long non-coding RNA, 1704 nt
Organism: Myotis daubentonii (Daubenton's bat)
Lineage: Eukaryota; Metazoa; Chordata; Mammalia; Chiroptera; Vespertilionidae
Source: RefSeq, a predicted model, not a curated record
GGUGAUCAGGCAGGCAGGUGAGCAGUUAGGAGCCAGCAGUCCCAGAUUGUGAGAGGAUGUCUGACUGCCGGUUUAGGCCUGAUCCCCAGGAUCAGGCCUAAACUGGCAGUUGGACAUCCCCCAAGGGGUCCUGGAUUGGAGAGGGUGCAGGCUGGGCUGAGGGGACCCCAGCCUCUAGUCCAGCCAUAAGUGGCUAAAAAAAGCUGUGGUACAUUUAUACAAUGGAAUACUAUGCAGCUAUAAAAAAGCAGGAUCUCUUACUCUUUGUCACAGCCUGGAGGGACCUGGAGAUUAUAAUGCUAAAUGAACUAAAGACAGCCAGAGAAGGACAAAUAUCAUGAUAUAACAUUAUAUGUAGAAUCUAAUGAACAAAAUAAAUUUCCUGACAGAGUGAGGUGUUUUGUAAGAGGUUUUGUUCUAUGUCUACAACAUGGGAAUAAGGCACUGCAAUAAAGAUGAUCCUGAAAGGACUCUUUCUCCUGCCAGUAUGGGGAGUUGGACAUAAAUCUGACAGUAACAAUAUCACCAAUAAUGGUCAUUGUCUGGAAAAGAGCCAGUGGCCCCAUCAAGGAGGUAAAACACUCAAUACUGAAGGCAGGUAAAGGGCCAACUACCCACUAACAUCCACUGAGUGUUCAGCAUUCCAUCUUAAAAGACAAAAAAUUAUGCCUCCCCUGUUUACACUCCAAAUCCCAAAGUCUGUGAUGUUGGCAGGGGCUCUUACGGUCAACACACUGAAGCCAAGCUUGAAGCACCAUAGAUUACAUGCGCUUCAGAGCCAAGGCCUCCAUUUGCGUUAAUCACCGAGCACAGGGUUCAGCACAGAGAUGAGCAUUUUAUCAGUAAUAUUUCUUAAAUUAAUGCUUGAUGAAAACCACAACCUAUAAUAAUGACGCUGAGCUCUUCUGUUCUCCCACUGGCCCCUAAUGGGUCCCAGCAGCCCAGGCGGUGGGGGGAGCAGCAGUGGCCUGGCCACCCAGCUUCUCCAAGGCUCUGGGCGAGCCGCUGCCCCAGAUGCCCCAGAGGAAGGUCAGCCCCUGCCUGGGGGCAGGGAAGGAGGAGUUCAAAGAGGUUGUCCGGUAAGCCCACUCCUGCAACGGUGGAAAUGAAGCCACAAAUAGGCAGCAGAGAAGGAGAAAUCUGCAGAGCAAAAAGUGCAGACGAAAGGACAAAAGAGGAGCCAAGGGAAGACAGGCAGAAACGGCUGAGCAACCCAAGAUUUACCUGCAGAAAACAGAGAAACGAAAAGCAAAGGGAGGUCAGCCUCUGAUGAAGCAGGAGAAAGAAGCCAAGUCAGGUUAAUGUCAUUCUCCAGGUCUCAGUGCUCCGCAUCGCCCUUCUCGUAUAAUGCAGGGGAACGUUUUUAUCAACUGUUUUGUAAAUGCAAGUGUUUUCGUAACUCUAGAAACAUUUUGAAGGAGGGAAUCCCACCUCAUCCCAUUUUGAAGUGUAAAUACUGUUUUUAAGGUGAAAUCAUUCGCUCGCUGUGUUUUGGUACAACCAGAAAACAGUGGGGUGUUGAAUGUGGGAGCUUUGAUUGACUUGGGUGUCAGCUUAACAUUCCGCAGAUGCGGGUAGUUUAUAUCCUAUAAUGCAAAGCAUAUGAGGUGGCAAUUUGGAGUCAGUUGUGCGUUCAAUGUGUCUUGAACAAUUUUAAAUUACUUCUGUUCCCAUGGUUUUGGCAGAAUUGUUUCCUAAAGAAAA